CUUGCUUUCUUUGCUGGCGACCGGCGCACGGGUGAGUAACACGUAUCCAACCUGCCCUUUACUCGGGGAUAGCCUUUCGAAAGAAAGAUUAAUACCCGAUAGUAUAAUGAUUCCGCAUGGUUUCAUUAUUAAAGGAUUCCGGUAAAGGAUGGGGAUGCGUUCCAUUAGGUUGUUGGUGAGGUAACGGCUCACCAAGCCUUCGAUGGGUAGGGGUUCUGAGAGGAAGGUCCCCCACAUUGGAACUGAGACACGGUCCAA
Molecule: ribosomal RNA, 258 nt
Filed under: uncultured bacterium
Lineage: Bacteria
Description: partial 16S ribosomal RNA
Rfam family: Bacterial small subunit ribosomal RNA
Source: RNAcentral